UUCCUUGGAAAAGGACAGCUGAGAGAGUGAAACUCCCGUCCGCCUGGUAGAAUGAGUCUUUGUCAACGAGUCGAGUUGUUUGGGAUUGCAGCUCUAAUUUGGUGGUAAAUUCCAUCUAAAGCUAAAUAUUGGUGGGAGACCGAUAGCGUACAAGUACCGUGAGGGAAAGAUGCAAAGAACUUUGAAAAGAGAGUUAAAGAGUACCUGAAAUUGCUGAAACGGAAGCGAAGGAAACCGGUGUUUGUUGGUUCAUAUUUCCCUGGCCACUUGUGGUUUGGGCG
RNAcentral lists this ribosomal RNA (281 nucleotides) under Pseudo-nitzschia fraudulenta. RNAcentral describes it as "partial 28S ribosomal RNA". It matches the Rfam family "Eukaryotic large subunit ribosomal RNA", at positions 186 to 475 of the family's 3401-position model. Lineage: Eukaryota; Bacillariophyta; Bacillariophyceae; Bacillariales; Bacillariaceae. The record is from RNAcentral.